This 637-nucleotide ribosomal RNA is filed under the name uncultured fungus. RNAcentral's name for it is "eukaryotic LSU rRNA". It matches the Rfam family "Eukaryotic large subunit ribosomal RNA", at positions 38 to 667 of the family's 3401-position model. Lineage: Eukaryota; Fungi. The record is from RNAcentral.
GCAUAUCAAUAAGCGGAGGAAAAGAAACUAACAAGGAUUCCCCUAGUAACGGCGAGUGAAGCGGGAAGAGCUCAAAUUUGAAAUCUGGUGGCCUCAGGUCAUCCGAGUUGUAAUCUAUAGAAGUGUUUUCCGUGCUGGCUCAUGUACAAGUCCCUUGGAACAGGGCGUCAUAGAGGGUGAGAAUCCCGUCCUUGACAUGAACUACCAGUGCUCUGUGAUACAUUUUCAACGAGUCGAGUUGUUUGGGAAUGCAGCUCAAAAUGGGUGGUAAAUUCCAUCUAAAGCUAAAUAUUGGCGAGAGACCGAUAGCGAACAAGUACCGUGAGGGAAAGAUGAAAAGCACUUUGGAAAGAGAGUUAAACAGUAUGUGAAAUUGUUGAAAGGGAAACGAUUGAAGUCAGUCGUGCUCUUUGGAUUCAGCCGGUUCUGCCGGUGUACUUCCUUUGAGUGGGUCAACAUCAGUUUUGAUCGCUGGAUAAAGGCUGGAGGAACGUAGUACCCUCGGGUAAACUUAUAGCCUCCUGUCACAUACAGUGGUUGGGACUGAGAACCGCACCACCCUUUAUGGCCGGAAUCCGUCACGUACGUGCUUAGGAUGUUGACAUAAUGGCUUUAACGACCCGUCUUGAAACGGACC